RNAcentral lists this transfer RNA (72 nucleotides) under Camelus bactrianus (Bactrian camel). It matches the Rfam family "tRNA". From Rfam's summary of the family: Transfer RNA (tRNA) molecules are approximately 80 nucleotides in length. The record is from Rfam by way of RNAcentral. Lineage: Eukaryota; Metazoa; Chordata; Mammalia; Artiodactyla; Camelidae. RNAcentral also lists the same sequence under 2 other names.
GAGAGUAUAGCUCAGUGGUAGAGCACGUGCUUAGCAUGCAUGAGGUUUGGGGUUCAAUCUCCAGUACCUCCG